UUUGUCUGCUGCUCUGCAGUUUGGUUGCCAAGGAACACAUCCCUGAGGCUCCUCCAGGUCAGGAGUAGGGGCCUGUCUGGGCUAUACAACAUUCCAGAAGGGAGAUGGGUUCCCACACCCAUUUAGCUCUUCACUGAUGUGGGACUUUGACAUGAUUCCCUUUUGUUGCCAUGUUACGGUGCUCACUGGACAUCCUACAUGACCUAUUACCCUAAUCCCUCUAACCCCAGGAAAUGCCUCUGCCUUCUCUUCUCUAGAAUGGGCUGUGUUGUCAGAAAUCACACGGAUGAUGCUGUUGAUGCAGGGAGGUGCUGUCAAUACUCAGCUAACAAUCUGACCUGAAAUACUCACAUGUUCAGUCAAUAUCCACCUCAAAUUCUAGUUUGAAUGCCAAAAUCCUUUUUCCUACUGUGGGUACCUAUGUUUCAGUCUUGCCACAAGCCACUGAAGGCUUGGGGAUUUGUUCUGCAUUCUGUCCCCUAACCCUCCUGGUGGCCAGUGUGCUGCCUGACUCCGUGUCCCUCCUCUGUUCCUCCUCAGGGUAAAAAUGCCUCAACCGUGAAUAAGAAUGAGACCAGUGUGGUGUGGACCAUCCAGGCAGGCUUGCUGGAUAAGCAAGUGUAGCAUCCUGUGCCUGUCUUCCUGGGCAGAGACCGCUGCCCCCCCGCCCCCAUGUCUCCAUGUUCCUGGACAUGUACAGAACUUUUCCACUACUGAAAAGGUGCUGGAUCUGUUGAUUCCAAGGUGAGCACCCUGCCUCUCCACAGCCCCACUGAAUGUGGCCACUUACAGGCUUUGAGUCUUGGGAAUGUCCCCAAACCUCCCCAAGUCUCAGUCUGUUCCUCAGAUGGGGGCAGAGUUAUUAUAGGGACCCAGUGGGGCCCUGCAGGGAAAGUGCACCUGACAUUGUGGAACGGUCUGCUGGCAGGGCUGUGGCUGUGCUGGGUUAUUAUUGUCCUCUUCCCCAUGAUGACGUUUCUGCCUCAUCUGUCACUGUCACCAGGUCUUGAGCCGGGCCAUUUUCCCAUUUGAAAAGGAGAUUUGAGGCUCCAUCUGGGGGUCUGAAUCCUGGCUGAGACCAGAGCAGGGAUCCCUGGGGGUGAGCAGGUGGCCCCAGGCCCACUCAGAUAUCUGUGAUGGUGCUAGUUGAGGCCCAUUCAUUUAUCAAACAUACAGGAAGCUCCACCAGAUGCAGACACUUCUUUAGGAGCUGACUGUCAGCCAAGGCACAGAGCAGACAACACCCUGCCCUCUAGGGCUCCAUUCUACACAGGGGUCAGUGACACUACGUAUGACAAGAGGUAGCAUGCACAGGACAGGUGAUAUGAUGUCCUCCUGGCCUCCUGUAGGUAUGGAUGCAUCCUUCCUGAAAUGGGAUGAAGAUGGCAGGCCCCUGGAGCAGAAGAAAAUGUGAGUGGGCUUUAGACAAUGCAGGAGGGUCUUCCCCCUCCAAGAGGGCAGCGGGGGGGUGGGGCGGUGAGUUGGAAGGGCUCUGGACCCUGCAUCCCACACAUCUGCGAUUCCUUUGAGCGGGCAAAGGUCUGAGUGCUUCUCCUGGACGAGGAGAAAGGGGUUCUAGAGAGCCAUAGAUGAGGUGUGGGCACAGUGGGACAGCAGAGGGGGCCAGAGGACAGAGUCACCUCCUAAGAGAGUCCAACCCCAUCCUUUCCCACUCCCAGUCCUGCCUCCACCCCCAUCCUGGGACCCAGAACAAAGGGUGUGGGGAGCAUCACACUCACCAAUCUGGUGGCACUUCAACGGUGGGUGCUCAGCAAGUGCUUCGGAGACCCAGUGAGGGCUCAGGGACCAGCUGUCCCCCACCUUGUGGGAGAUUAGGGUCAGUGGGGGACACCCACAUGGAUGCGAAGUGAAUAAAGCAACAUGUAGGCGGAGGAGGUAAAGUUUGAGGUAUUAGGAGGGUCCUGAGAAGCCCUUCUGAGAGACGGGUUCCUUUGUUUCCUAUUUGUUCCGAUAUUCAUGGAGCACUGGUGUAUGCAGUGAGGACAAUGAACCGAACAGAUGCCACCCCUCCUUGCCCACAUGGAGUUGAAUUCCAGCAGGAAGUAGGCAGGCAGACAGAGCAAAGAGUCCUUCUCCAAGAAGGACAGAGAUGGCCCCAUCAUUGGUUAAGGGCUCCCAUUCAAAAUGGCUUUUUGCCAGCCUCUCCUCAGUGACCAGGACUAUCUUAGCAGGAGUGCCAAAUCAGAGGUGGACGAGGAGUAGGACCAGCCUCUGGACAGCUGGAGGCAUAGGAGCCCAGGUUCCCACUGGGUGCCCUGAGACACCAGUCUUGAUUCUUCUGCCCACUUCUGUAUCUCCAGGGCCAUCUUCUCCAUUCUGGGCACCUGGAUGGACAACUCCUCUCAGGAUUUUUUCCAACCUGCAGAAUUUCCCUGCCUGAAGAUGCUGCUGGCAUAUGUGGGGCUUAACAUGCUGGGCUCACGUCUGGAGCACCGUACGUCUGUUUUCCUCUCAUAGCUGGGACACAUGGAGCCCAAUGAGCCAGAGGUUGAGGGUGAGGAGAACUCAGGGUGGGCGAUGUGAGCAUGUGGAGGGGACAGGGUAGGCCACACAGAACAAGUAUCCUUAAGCUGUGUUUGGCUCAGGAGCCGUGAGUAGUCUCAGAUAACUGUCCCCAUGGUCUGCCAUCUGGGGAGACUUCCUGGGGGUGGGUGCUUGGACUCAGAAGACAUUGACUGGUGGGAGAGGUUUCCUUUAUUUGGAAGAGACAUGGAAAGGCAAUCAUGGUGAUGAUACUUUCUCUUCUUGAAGCUAUAGCACCCGUUCCGGAGCAGGAUCCAGAACCAACUCAAGAGCUAGCCCCAGCUCCUGCUGUGGUGCCUGCUGCAGCUUCAGAGCCCGAGGUGGCUGAAGCCAUCACUCCUGCUGGAGCUCAGCAAUUAGGAAAAGCAGUGACCCUCCCUGCAGUGUCAGAGCCCGUGCAAGUGGUAGUUAUAGCUCUGAUUCACUGUCAGGAGCUGGAAGAACCACCUGCACCUUUGGCAGCCGUGGAGCAUGAGCAGGCUCCAGCCCCAGCUACUGGGGUUCCGGAAGGACUAGAACAACCACUUGCUACAGCUGAACAACCAGCCUCAGCUCCCAAGCAGUGGCUCAUGUCGGCUGCAGCCCCAAAGGAUGGCUUCCCCUCCCCUGUC
RNAcentral lists this long non-coding RNA (3155 nucleotides) under Lynx pardinus (Iberian lynx). Lineage: Eukaryota; Metazoa; Chordata; Mammalia; Carnivora; Felidae. The record is from RNAcentral.